Corticium candelabrum is the source of this 633-nucleotide long non-coding RNA. RefSeq lists it as uncharacterized. NCBI's taxonomy places the organism in Eukaryota, Metazoa, Porifera, Homoscleromorpha, Homosclerophorida, Plakinidae. The transcript has 8 exons. The record is from RefSeq and is a predicted model, not a curated record.
UCACCCGGUCCAAGAGGUCCCGUAGUAAGUUCUAUUCAACAGAAAAUUUAGUUUGCUAAUGUAUUGUGUAAGGGUCCUCCUGGUGCAACUGGCGAGACUGGAAAACAAGGAGUAUCGGGCCCACGAGGAGUAACUGGAGAUACCGGUUCUCAAGGUCCAGUAGGUCCUCCAGGUUUGCCUGGUCUUAAAGGAGUCCAAGGAAUAAAGGGAGACAAAGGAUACCAAGGAUCACAAGGUUUAGCAGGUUUAGAUGGAAAACCGGGCCCACCAGGACAUCCGGGACCAGAUGGUCCUUCCGGGGAAAAAGGCGUCAAGGGUGGUCGAGGCUUUACAGGUCACAAAGGAGAACAAGGUGGGCAAGGGAUACCAGGACCUACCGUCGACGAGAACACAAGAAAUUUAAUGAAAAGGUGUUGUGACCCUGUAACUGGCUUCCAGUCUAUAAUAGAAGACAUUAUAGAAAAUAUUACUCAAAUGAAAAUUGAUCUGCUGAAUGGUUAUGACAAACCUGCAUUUCAUGUAGGAGGAAGUGGCACUGACGGAAGAUCUUCAUCUGGUAAUAUCUGGUACAAAUACACGUAAGAUAGACAGAUUAUUGCGAUACAAUUAUCAGCGAUAUUGAGUUUAAUUUUU